GGUUUGUCAAAGGGUUUCUCACAGAGUUCAUUGGCAUUCUGUCCACCUCCCUACGGAAAUCCGCCCAUGGUUACUAAGGAGGUGUGGUGAGGUGGGCAUACUGCCAACAGAGCUCUGUUGGUCUCACUUUGUAAAACCUUCCUGAUAUACC
This 151-nucleotide microRNA precursor is filed under the name Linum usitatissimum (flax). RNAcentral's name for it is "miR394b stem-loop (lus-MIR394b)". Its record names the gene lus-MIR394b. The stretch from base 18 to 121 matches the Rfam family "MIR394 microRNA precursor family". The record is from miRBase by way of RNAcentral. Lineage: Eukaryota; Viridiplantae; Streptophyta; Magnoliopsida; Malpighiales; Linaceae.